This is a non-coding RNA of Petromyzon marinus (sea lamprey), 5222 nucleotides long. NCBI's taxonomy places the organism in Eukaryota, Metazoa, Chordata, Hyperoartia, Petromyzontiformes, Petromyzontidae. The record is from RefSeq and is a predicted model, not a curated record.
GGCUCCCGCCGGAGGCAUCGAUGGUGCCAGGGGGAGGGAGAAGAGGAAGAUGAGAUGGGGCGUGGGUGGGGUAGGGGACUCCAGCAGAGUUGACCAAAUUUCAGGUCUCGGUUUCAUAAACACAUCGGAGUUGCAUCGACCAAAGGUCGUCCUCUCUCAUGUAUCCCAUCACCUUGGUGCACCUUAUCGGCAGGCCCAGCCCCUGAAACGUUGACCUUCAGAACAGGAGCGGUCGUAGUGGACCCGUCGUGCGCACACGGCCAUCUUACUCACGUCUAGAAGAGCCAUCGGUGCUCGUGUCGCGUCGCGGCUUGCGUGCAGGUAAAUUUGUCGGGCGGGCGACUUGCGGCGAGAGACGAACAGAGAGAGAGAGAGACCUAUGGGCCACACCACCCACGCCAACGCACACGGGGAGCUCAUUAACGCCUCCCAUUGGCGGGAGUGAAUCACCAACCGAGACACCGCCGUCAAAUUAAUGCGGACCUUUAAUGAUUGAGAGAGCAUUCAUUCUCUGCUUUGAAGUGUCACGUCGGAGACCUCUCGUUCACAUCGGGGUGGUGGUGGGGGGGGGGGUGUGCAGGUAGAGGGGUGGUGCCCAUUGUUGGGCACGGAGCAAGUGGCCUCCGGAGUUGAGGAGGCCCUUGCGUGGACACGCGCACCUCCAGCAACGUUUCCAUCGCAAACCCCAAAACGAAGUCGUCGUGUAAACCGCCGACGCCGCUUCACUCACCUCGUCGAGUUAUUCGAUAAAUUCGACUGUCGCUCGGGAGAGGUUUCACUCACGGGGCGGCGCGCAAAGCGCCGGCGGCGGUGCGUCGCGCUACACGCGGUCGUCGCUCGACGCCUCGGGGUCGCUUGUGACCGGUCUGACGCAGGUGGCACACGCCGGUUAAUUAUUCUCGCCCAUUCACACCGUCCCCCUCUCGCGUUUUGUACCCAAAAGGAGUACUCGAGGUUGCCGUGGUGAUGGCUGUGGAUGCGCGCGUGGUGCUGUUGACGGAGGUCCGCGCAGUCCCCCUCUCUGAGCCCACGUCGCUGCGCGCCUCCCAGAAAAUCCGCGGCGCUCUCCGCACAGGGGCAGCAGCAGCAGCCUCACCGGCAGCGGCCCCGACACGCGCCACGUCGCCCGUGGCAGGGCGCGCCAAGCUGCUGGUCUCCCCCCCCACCUUGCCGGGGCCUGCGGGCCGAGGAGUACGCACGUCGUUGCCGGCGGCACCUUGUCGAGGCUCGCGGUGUGGCUCUCGCGAGAGCCGGCGUCCUCUCGAGAGGUCAACGCGGCCCAUCGGAGCCGUCACCUUUUGGCCCACGACGCAGUCGCCAAACGGCGGCCGCGCGUCUUCGUGGUGAAGACGCAGCUCGCGAUGGCCGCCCGCUCACGAUAGCGCGUCCUGUUACUUCGCAAUGUUAAGGAAUCACCGCAUUUGUCUCCCGUGUUUUGCUUUCGUUUGACCCUUGCCUCUACGCUUCGGUUUUACAGCAGUGGGUAGAUCAUCGCUGCCGCUGCUGACGAUAGAUCGACAUAGCGAAGGCCCUCAGGUACCCGUCUGUGAAACAAUGUGCCCUUCGCGAUAGCCUCGUGCUUAGAGAAUGGCGGGAAUUAUUCCGACUCAGCCUUUAUUUCAGCUGGUAGGGCCCCAUUGAGCUCAGUAGCUCUUUGGUGAUGACGACCACAGCCCAAGACACUCGGUUGUGGUGAUUGUUACAUUACAGGAUACUGCAGGGUGGAGGGAACGUGCAAACUAACCAGAGCGAAAACAACAACAACAACAAACACGUUAUUUACACGGAACCCACGCCAGAGCUCACUGCACACAUGAGAAACAAUAUACAGGGCUUACAUACAAAUCAAAAUCAGUGUCAAAACCUCCCCGUCACAGACGUGCGGAAUGUCCUCGCUUGGAAACAGGGCCUUAACGGGCAGCGAGCCCAACCGGCUCCGGAUUGGACACUGAUUCCAAAGUUCGCCCUUAUAGGUUAACAUUCGGAAUUUGGUGUUGAUGGGCGCCCAAAUAAUAAUGGCAUUUCCUCGUGAACGACGUCCUUUUAUCAAUUUUCAGAAUUUUUGGCGAAGAUUUCCGGUUCAAGGCGGUUUAUAAACUUCCCAAAAAAGGAAACCAAGCCAAGCUUCUAACGAGCUGAAAAGAGACACUGUGUGAGAAAUAAUAAUAAAAAUGAGAACAGGGAGAAGAUUUCCACGUUUAACAUUUUCACACUGCUGCGCGUACACAAAAGCAAGCGGUAAAUUUCACGAGCGGUUGAAUGAGGUUUGAACACGGCCCACAAAUUCACUCUGGUCACGCAGCGCAAUGAAAUGCAAUAGAAUUUGGACUUAUACAGCGUCUAAAUUGCCACUGCAUCUCAAGGUGUUUGUACAGUAUGAUGUACAUCACCAGGAACAGAAUAGCGUGUGUGUUUGUAUAUACAUAUAGUUUAAAUAGAUGUAUAUACAUACAAGAGCAAUAGACGGAAGAGGAGAGGAUGAUUUUGAACCUGCUUCAGCUGAACAGGGGCAUGCGGUUGGCAGUGCAGACGGCCAGUGGGUCUGAGGUCCAUUAAACAAUUAGCGUACGGUGCAAAAGAAGUGCAACAUGCAUACCGUACAUAAAGCACAGAGGCACCGUGACCAAAGACAUUGUUUGCUGGACUAACACACGAAGCGGAGUAUAGUGAGUUCGUAGCAGGGCGAGUCCGUGGAGGAUCUUGAAGACGCUAAGGGUGAUAUUGAUGCCCAUACUGGACAUCUGCGAAAACAAGCUUUAUAGCUCAUCGGAUUCCCCCGGUAUCAAUAAAUAUUCUGAGCCAGUUGGGUAACUGGGGUGGUGCAGGAAGUGCCGCCUCGAGAGACCGCGGGCAGGAGGCGAGGCUGCACGAUUGCGGGGCUAAGGCCCAUGAGUGUUUCACGGUGACCACGCUUCUCUGGGAUAGGAGCGAAGAGUCGAUGUUUACGGAGGAAUGGGGGAGCUCCACGCUGCCUCCGUAAAUGCCAUCAUUUGGCUCAAGAAGACUGGAGCUAAAUAUCUCGAUUGCUCCUUGACUUUUCACACUGAGCCGCACGCGAGUCGUAGAGUGUUCACUGGCGUUGUGCGUUUUUCACCAAGAGCGUUAGCUUUACAAUAACGCCUAGCAAAUUUAAACUUCGAGUUGAGCAAAGAAGGAACUUUAUUCUGCGCCUCAAUACUGAGUUACCCCCCUCCUCCCUGUGCUUCGAUUGUGCUGCUGUUACUGCUGCGUGGUCAAUCCCGUAGAAUGCUUGGGCCAGACCCGGCCUCAGCAAACUCCUGGCGCCAGGAGAUGAGGUGGGGUGAGCACACAACUCUCGAAUGUCACCGAGCCGCAGUCAAAGAAAUCGUGCUCUUUGCAACAUUCAGCCACGGCCGCGGCCAAAUCACCCGGGGCUGUGUGCGGUGUCUCACCAAGACCUCAGAGGCUAAGCUGGACAGAUAGGGUUAGGACUUGGAUGGGAGACUACCUUCGGGAAUACCAGGAGGUACAUGUAGCCUUUGGGCUGCUAGGUGGCCAGGGGAUGGUAGCAGAGGAAUGGGUUUUGAAUCUAUCUGUGCGGAGUUUCGAGCGUUACCUCUCACACGCGCGGGAUUCCUUGGGUGCCCAAUGGUCCUCUUCUUUUUACUUCCGAUAUUAGGAAGCCACUGGAGCCGUGCACAUUUAUAUCUACGUUGAAAACUCAUUUCUUUAAAACUGCUUUUUUGUGUUCAGUUUUGUCGUCCUUCCCCCGCACCUCCGAUUUGCGCGGUUGGAUACGCACGGUGCGGAAGAAGUUCAAUAUACAUGCAUACGUGAAGCCAAACACUCAUGAUUGCAAACUGGCUAAACAUCCGGGAUCCUUGUGAAAAAGAGGUCUGAGGGUCAGUAAGGCUUUCUUGGGUAAUUAAUGGACAUUAUUAUUCCGACGACUACUAUCGGAAACCGUCGACGUUGUCCCAUGGAGCCUCUUGCACAAUACACGUUUGUAACACCCAGCGAGAUUCGUAAUGAAAUGCGCAACCGCCUCCUGCCAGAACGGCUCGUAAUUUCUAAGAAAUAAACGUCAGCAGUGUCCAUUGAGGUCGCCUCUCGGCGCAGUCGGUGGCACGCAAACCCGGCAACAAUUACAGCAGUAGCAGCAGCAACAACGACGACGACAAAGCCGCGAGAGAGGCGGCUCUGUGUGCCCAACUUUGCGGCAAGCAACUCUAUUCAGGGCAUCGUGACGGUGACGCCAGAGGAGGGCAUUUGCUGGCAAACGUGGUUGGGAACGAAACUUUUAUUUGUUUUUUCACCUUGUGCCACACUAACGCCUUGCACUCACGCACAACUCUCACGCUCUUAGGGAGUGUAAAUCUCUUUCUCGUCCUCCCUCCUCAUCCUCCUCCGUCUUUUUGCGUCCGGCUGAGUUGAGAGCGACGUUAAAGAUCUCGCUCUGAGCGUCAAAGCCACGCAACGGAUUCAGCUGAUGGCUGAGUUCACUGCUGUCGCUACUCCAGCUGCUACUGCCUCCGAUGAAUUUUCAAAGUUGGCAGCGGCAGGGUGUGAGAAACAGACACCGUUCUGCCAGUCUCCGCUGCAAUAUGCCCUCUCCUCGCCUACUCUCUAGCCAUGUGUUUGAUGGUACACACUCAGCUCCAGGAGAUUUACUUAAACCCCAUUAUGCUCCACGGCAGCGGCAUCACGAGUUUGUGCACGGCAUUGCUAAUUGCGUUGAACGGGGCCCCAUAUUUUGAUAUGGAGCACUCUUGCCAAUAACAUAUGGUAAUCCGGCAACGUUUCCAUAAUACGCAUGUAUCUAUCCAUGAGAACCGGAAGGUCGCAACCUGGUCCAGACGGUGUUUGCUUAACAAUAAAUGCUGCUAGGUAAUAUUGGUCUCGAAAGAUAAUAUGCUGGUGAACUAAAACAUAUAUCCGUUUUAUUUAUACGUAAAGAGGCAGAAUUAACUGCCUCUUUACGUAUUUUGCUCAUAUCAAUGUUCUCCAGUGCACGUGGGCGAUGCUGGCCCAGUGCAGGGUGCGGGUGGGGGGGGGGGGUCAAGAGGAGGCCGCCAAGUGAGAGACCGAAAUCGCGGCAAGUGUGCACACAGCACGCCUUUGCUGAACUCGGAUCGCCACCUUUUCCCAUUGUAAACCAAACCCGGACCGUGUUUCUCAGUCAUCACGAGGCCUGUUAUCAAAGCUGUUCAAGUUUAUGCUGUAAUAAAGGUCAACAACAAUAAAAAAAAACCGGUACCAGA